Molecule: transfer RNA, 68 nt
Filed under: Helcystogramma macroscopa
Lineage: Eukaryota; Metazoa; Arthropoda; Insecta; Lepidoptera; Gelechiidae
Description: tRNA-Gly
Source: RNAcentral
AUUUAUAUAAUAUAAGUACAGUAUAUUUGACUUCCAAUCAAAAAGUUUAAAAUUAUUUAAUAUAAAUA